This 235-nucleotide ribosomal RNA is filed under the name Xanthomonas citri pv. citri. RNAcentral's name for it is "partial 16S ribosomal RNA". It matches the Rfam family "Bacterial small subunit ribosomal RNA", at positions 788 to 1022 of the family's 1533-position model. Lineage: Bacteria; Pseudomonadati; Pseudomonadota; Gammaproteobacteria; Lysobacterales; Lysobacteraceae. The record is from RNAcentral.
UGGUAGUCCACGCUGUAAACGAUGAAUACUAGGUGUGCGGGGACUGACCCCCUGCGUGCCGCAGCUAACGCAAUAAGUAUUCCACCUGGGGAGUACGAUCGCAAGGUUGAAACUCAAAGGAAUUGACGGGGGCCCGCACAAGCGGUGGAUUAUGUGGUUUAAUUCGAUGCAACGCGAAGAACCUUACCAGGGCUUGACAUCCUACUAACGAGAUAGAGAUAUGUUAGGUGCCCUU